GUGGCAAGCUCAGUGAUACCUUGAGGUCAUGACCUCCUUAUUUUUGUUGGUGAAAUGAUGAAAUCAUGAAUAACAUAUUGAUUCUGGGAAAAAUGAGGAGGCCAUGACCUCAAGGUAUCACUGAGCUUGCCACACCCAGAAUCAAUAUGUUAUUCAUGACUUCAUCAUUCCACCAAC
Molecule: long non-coding RNA, 177 nt
Organism: Limulus polyphemus (Atlantic horseshoe crab)
Lineage: Eukaryota; Metazoa; Arthropoda; Merostomata; Xiphosura; Limulidae
Exons: 2
Source: RefSeq, a predicted model, not a curated record